GUUCCCUCCGAGACGGAUCCCGAGUAGUGCGGGGCACGUGAAACCCCGUAUGAAUCCGGCAGGACCAUCUGCCAAGGCUAAAUACUUCCUAGCGACCGAUAGUGAAGCAGUACCGUGAGGGAAAGGUGAAAAGCACCCCGGAAGGGGAGUGAAAUAGAACCUGAAACCGUGUGCUUACAAGAAGUCAGAGCCCAUUUUAGGGGUGAUGGCGUGCCUUUUGUAGAAUGAACCGGCGAGUUACGUUCCCGUGCAAGGUUAAGGUGAAGAGCCGGAGCCGCAGCGAAAGCGAGUCUGAAUAGGGCGAUGUAGUACGUGGACGUAGACCCGAAACCGGGUGAUCUACCCCUGUCCAGGGUGAAGGUGCGGUAACACGCACUGGAGGCCCGAACCCACGCACGUUGAAAAGUGCGGGGAUGAGGUGGGGGUAGCGGAGAAAUUCCAAUCGAACUCGGAGAUAGCUGGUUCUCCCCGAAAUAGCUUUAGGGCUAGCCUCGGAAAACAGAGUCGUGGAGGUAGAGCACUGAUUGGGUGCGGGGCCCGCAAGGGUUACCAAGCUCAGUCAAACUCCGAAUGCCAUAGACUUACUUCCGGGAGUCAGACAGUGAGUGCUAAGAUCCAUUGUCAAAAGGGAAACAGCCCAGACCAUCAGCUAAGGUCCCCAAGUGUGUGUUAAGUGGGAAAGGAUGUGGAGUUGCACAGACAACCAGGAUGUUGGCUUAGAAGCAGCCACCAUUGAAAGAGUGCGUAAUAGCUCACUGGUCGAGUGACUCUGCGCCGAAAAUGUAACGGGGCUAAACACACCACCGAAGCUAUGGCUUG
This 819-nucleotide ribosomal RNA is filed under the name Paenibacillus sp. P13VS. Its description in RNAcentral is "partial 23S ribosomal RNA". It matches the Rfam family "Bacterial large subunit ribosomal RNA", at positions 389 to 1209 of the family's 2925-position model. The record is from RNAcentral. Lineage: Bacteria; Bacillati; Bacillota; Bacilli; Caryophanales; Paenibacillaceae.